ACUGCCAAACUGAUCUACAUUUAUGCCAACCAUUUUGUUGCAUGAUUUUACUAUUUCAAUGCUGGUAUGCAGUAUGAUCUAUGAGUAGAGCUUAGUAGAUAGCCUCUUAAUGUUUGUGAUAGUGUAUUUCAGAUAGCCUUUUUGUAGAAGGAUAGAACUGAUAUCUAAGCAAAUUGUGACCCAAGCAGGAGAUAGCCAGUGAUUACUGCCAAACUGAUCUACAUUUAUGCCAACCAUUUUGUUGCAUGAUUUUACUAUUUCAAUGCUGGUAUGCAGUAUGAUCUAUGAGUAGAGCUUAGUAGAUAGCCUCUUAAUGUUUGUGAUAGUGUAUUUCAGAGAGCCUUUUUGUAGAAGGAUAGAACUGAUAUCUAAGCAAAUCAUAUGUUUUUAGAGUCCAGUGAAGAGUGCUUUUGUUCCACACUUGCUGUUGGUUCCUGUAGAUUUCCCUGCCGGGCAAUGGUCAUGUUUUCACCACAAAGCUGAGCUUGUAGGCGUGAUAUGUUACUGCCCUAGGAAAGCUGCAGGGGUUACAAACGCGUCAUUCAGCGAACUUCUCUUCAGACAUCUGACUUUCUUAAAGAUGAUUGCUUGAAGAUAUAAUGCACUCUAGGAUUUUUGUGUCGACUAUUGAAUAUUGAUUACUCCAGGCCACAGUCCAUUCAGGUGCCAUACUUCAACAUUGCCUACCGGGAGAUUGGAAGAAUAAUCGUGCAGAUUUCCCUGCUGAAAGAUUUCUGGCCUCGAGGAUACCAAUGUGUUGCUUGCAUCUAGGAGUACAGGGUUCAAACAACUCGACAACAGCCAUAUGAGGUAGACAUUGUUGUCGACAACCAAGAGGCAUGCAACCCUCUAUCCAUGUCCGAACAUAGGCCAAGUUAAUAACAUCAUUUGCCUUCACACUGCACUUCCGAAUUGUAUUUCUACAUUGUUUCUAGAUACCCUACUUCCAUGAAAGGGUUGCAGCCUUGAUUUGAAUAGAAGAGCUCAUGCCGGAGACCAAAGGAAAAAAGCACAUAUCAGGCAUCCACAGAGGAGUCGAUCCAGUUGAAACUUAGACAUCGAAACCAUACAAGCCAUCUGCCUAUCAUAAGGAAGGACACACAAAAGGAAGGAGAGCGUCUUCUCCACUAGAUAGAUGUCAGCUUCCCAAACGGUGCCAAAGCCAAGCCUUCCACAAGGAGCUCACCUGUGGUGUUGUUCCUUACCAUAAUAGACGAAUGCAUGGAAAACAUCGUCCUAUCCCCUGAUUGCAAGGACAACUUCGACAAGUACCGAUGGUUUUACAAGUAGAAAGAAUCAAAUAAUUGUCUUGGCAUGGUGUUCUAAUUAAUGUGUUUUUAGGCUAUGGUUAUUAUCAAAUGUGUGUCCUGUUUUAUAUUUAAUUGUAUUGUUCCAUUUAUGUUUAAUGGUGUACUGAAAAUUAUGACGAGAUACAACACAUCAGCUAAUCUGGACAUUAUGUACUGCAUGCAUCUACAUUUCUGCUCUAUAGAUGGUUUCUCUCAUGGCCCGUUUGAAUGUUAGUGAAAGUGACAAACUAGCAUUUUUGUAGAACUAGGCAAUGCACUCUUGAAAAAAGACCCAUCUUAUAAAAGAACAUCGUUUAUACUUUAAUUUGAAGUUACAUCUCAGGCGCG
Long non-coding RNA from Lolium rigidum, 1637 nucleotides. RefSeq lists it as uncharacterized. The transcript is spliced from 4 exons. NCBI's taxonomy places the organism in Eukaryota, Viridiplantae, Streptophyta, Magnoliopsida, Poales, Poaceae. The record is from RefSeq and is a predicted model, not a curated record.